UACAACACAAUUACUUAACACUUGCCACGCUUUACACCACUAUUCAUUCCGUUCAACUAUUAUCAGAUAUAGAUAGACAGUUCUGAUUGUUUAUGCCAAGCGAAUGGAGAAUUGAAGCAAUUCGAUAUCAGUUGAGCUGUUCCAUAGGAUGUUGAUCACGAUACUAGGGCGGACCUGUGCCUUAGAGACUAAAACCGAAGAUAGACUUAGUUAACUAUGUUAUAAACUCUUUGUUUUCCUAUUUAAGACAAUGUACUACCCUUGUUUAAUACAUAAAAUGUAACUCUAAUUUCCAUGGUUGUAUAACAAUUAAUUCUGUCCACAACACUCC
Molecule: long non-coding RNA, 331 nt
Filed under: Helianthus annuus (common sunflower)
Lineage: Eukaryota; Viridiplantae; Streptophyta; Magnoliopsida; Asterales; Asteraceae
Description: sRNA HanXRQr2_Chr03g0110251
Source: RNAcentral